Long non-coding RNA from Hippocampus zosterae (dwarf seahorse), 313 nucleotides. RefSeq lists it as uncharacterized. The record is from RefSeq and is a predicted model, not a curated record. The transcript has 2 exons. NCBI's taxonomy places the organism in Eukaryota, Metazoa, Chordata, Actinopteri, Syngnathiformes, Syngnathidae.
ACAGUGUCGCUACUGCUCCAAUCGAUGGCCAUUGAGUCCGAAGGCCAGCCAGGCGAGCAUCUGGCUUCCCCCCCCCCACCUCAGCUCGUUGUCACCUUAGGCCGAAAGAGGACGGAGACCCGGGACAUCAGCCCUAAAAGGGUGAAGAGGUGCAAGGCCACCGUUGAGUGGAGCGGACACUUCUAAUGGGGGGGCAGAAAGUGGCGGGGCCGGGCCGAAGAGCGACACGAGCCUUCUGACAGCCCCCCCCCCCCCCAGAACAGCUCAGAGAGACGGCCCGUCAGGAAGACCGUACUUUGUACCAUUUGUGUCC